RNAcentral lists this ribosomal RNA (393 nucleotides) under uncultured bacterium. RNAcentral describes it as "bacterial SSU rRNA". It matches the Rfam family "Bacterial small subunit ribosomal RNA", at positions 30 to 424 of the family's 1533-position model. The record is from RNAcentral.
AUUGAACGCUGGCGGCAUGCCUUACACAUGCAAGUCGAACGGCAGCACGGGAGCAAUCCUGGUGGCGAGUGGCGAACGGGUGAGUAAUAUAUCGGAACGUGCCCAGUCUGGGGGAUAACGUAGCGAAAGCUACGCUAAUACCGCAUACGAUCUAUGGAUGAAAGCGGGGGAUCGCAAGACCUCGCGCGAUUGGAGCGGCCGAUAUCAGAUUAGGUAGUUGGUGAGGUAAAGGCUCACCAAGCCGACGAUCUGUAGCUGGUCUGAGAGGACGACCAGCCACACUGGGACUGAGACACGGCCCAGACUCCUACGGGAGGCAGCAGUGGGGAAUUUUGGACAAUGGCGCAAGCCUGAUCCAGCAAUGCCGCGUGCAGGAUGAAGGGCCUUCGGGUU